This 76-nucleotide transfer RNA is filed under the name Lentisphaerales bacterium. RNAcentral describes it as "tRNA-OTHER". The record is from RNAcentral. Lineage: Bacteria; Pseudomonadati; Lentisphaerota; Lentisphaeria; Lentisphaerales.
GUCACAUUGUCACGGAUUGGUAGAGCACCCCGACUUGUCGGGGAGGUCCCCGGUUCGAGCCCGGGAGCUGGCUCCA